GGCCAGGAAGAGGAGGAAGCCCUGGAGGGGCUGGAGGUGAUGGAUGUUUUCCUCCGGUUCUCAGGGCUCCACCUCUUUCGAGCC
This is a non-coding RNA of Dipodomys ordii (Ord's kangaroo rat), 84 nucleotides long. The record is from Rfam. NCBI's taxonomy places the organism in Eukaryota, Metazoa, Chordata, Mammalia, Rodentia, Heteromyidae.